Long non-coding RNA from Brachypodium distachyon (stiff brome), 13706 nucleotides. RefSeq annotates it as transposon Ty3-I Gag-Pol polyprotein. The transcript has 8 exons. The record is from RefSeq and is a predicted model, not a curated record. NCBI's taxonomy places the organism in Eukaryota, Viridiplantae, Streptophyta, Magnoliopsida, Poales, Poaceae.
AAAAAAAGACCCGGACCACUCUAUCGCCCCAGUUCCAACAUCCCUCGUGUCCACUUCACCCGCCGCCGCUGCCCUACGCAUCGCGGCAUCAAUGCCGGACUCCUCAUCCCUCGCCGCCGCCCAAGACUCGCCCCCACAACCCGAUGCCUGGCGCAUGCCCAUCAACGAUCAAGCGACACCCAUGGCCGCACGCAGCUGAGAUCCGAAGGGGCCACGCGCCGCCGCCUCCCACCACGAAGCCUUGUCGCCAUUGAUCAUCUCUAUGUCGUCAUCCAACCCGACCAUGCUGCUGUCCGCCACGACAAAGGCUGAGCCGGCACCCUAACCAACCCUUCCGCCGCCUGCAACCAUGAGCUUCGACGUGAUGGGCGGAUGCCGCAGGAGCUCGUGCCCGAGGCCCAUGCACCCAUUCCCUAGAUCAAGCGCGCCCAGGUCGCCAUACUCCUUGCUGACUCCGACCUCCGUUGGCACCGACAGCCUCAAGGGCCUCUACACAAUCCGGGAGAAGGUGGGAUAGGGCUUCCGCAACACAUGAUUUCCCGUGCAAGUACAUCGCCAAGAGGAAGAUGCUAGAUUUAAUCAAAGUAAGACCAACUGUGAUUUUUAGUUUACAAAUUUUUCCUCCUGUGGUAUUGUACAUGGUAGUUCUACUAGCACGUUGUUUCUGAUUGUGUGCAGACAUGAUGUGCAUAGUACGUUGUGCCACAAUGCUACUAAGGUACUCCCUCCGUUCCAUAAUUCUUGUCGAAAUAUUACAUGUAUCUAGACAUUUUUUAGGAAUAGAUGCAUCCAUUUUUGGGCAAAUUUGAGACAAGAAUUAUGGAACGGAGGGAGUAUUGUUCAACAGCUGCAAUUUCAAAAAAUUUAUACACAGAAACUCCCGCAUUGCUGUACUUUUUUGCUGUAAUUUUGUUCGUAGUUUACUUUCUUCACAGCAGGUUUUAUCACAUGUGCUCUAUACAAGUAACUACUAAACUCAUGUAGGUAAAAAAUGGGUGUAGCAGAUCUUCUGAGGUUCUUCAUACUCCCUCCAUUUCACAUAUGCGUUUUGAUCAAUGGGGCAUUCAUAUCAUAGUAAUGAAGGACUAUUAUUGUUCAAUAGCAUUGAUAUCAUCUGGUUUCAGUGUACAUUUUUUUAUUCAUUGUAUUUUUAACAUUUUACUUCAAAUAUAUGUUUCCUUUUUACAAACAUAUUUCAGAUCCUCGUGUCCAGGUUGCUUCAUAGAAAAGGCUUAUCUAUAUUCCAUACAUUCUUGAAAUUAAUUUCUAAGCAUAUGAACAAGCUGCAGCUUGAUAAGGUAAGAAUUUUACCAGUGUGUGCUAUUUCAUCCUGCAAUUUUUAGUUAACAUGGCAAGCCUGCUUUGCAGGUAGAUAAGUUUAUUUACUCUUCAUGCUUAGAAUCAUAGUGCUAAUUCAAAAGGGAAAACUUUGGCCCACUGGAUAAAUUCUGCUUUAUAUAUGACCAAAGGGUGCACAGCGUCGUGAAAGAUGGGAUCCCAUUGAUGCAGGGGCUUUGUUAAUGUAGUCCUCAUCCCUGUAAUCUAGCAUCUCCCUCUGAAAUAUUACGGUUUAAUAUCUAUCCUUCUCUUAUUGCGCUUAUGUUUUCAUGUGAAUUAUUAUCUACAGUAUAUUCACUAGAGAUAUACUCAUGUUUGAUCUGCUGCUGAUGUGCUAUGACUAUGACAUUAGACAGACAAACAUUCUUAAACCUUGUUCAGUUUCUCAGAAAGUGUCUGUUGAGAUAAUUGAUUAUUCAUCAGAAAAGAAAACAUAAUGCAAAUAUUUCCCUGUAAGACACCUAAAUUCUAACCAGCGACUGAAUGAAUCCUCUAUUCUUCUUAGUUCGCUUGGAAUUGUUCAGUUAAGUCUCGCGAUGCUACUCUCUGUUGUACUCCCUCCGAUCCAUAAAAAGUGUCGCCCACUUAGUACAAAAUUUGUGCUAACUUAGUACAAAAUGGGCGACACUUUUAUGGAUUGGAGGGAGUAAGAUCUAUGAAGUUAAUCACAUUACUUGGAAUACAUUCGGACAUUCGGUAUCACACAGUUGUUGCCAUCUUUGUGCUAUUAUGCAAAGUUUGAACCUAUGUUCAUUUAAUUAAAGAAAACAGGAAGGAGCCUUCUCGAGGCUAUGGCUCCUUGCAACUCUGCUUCAGCCUUCGUGAUAUCCUACUUUGGGCCUGGUCUCCUCAGCUCUGCUCCACCAACAGAUCCUUGCUGAUUUGGGAAUUUAAGGUGACGUGAAUUUGGGUAUUUCCUGUUUUUUGGGAAGUAAUAUGUUCUCGCAUCUGUCAGUUGGAGCUUGCCAUUUUUACUUGUGAGCUCGGUCUAUUUGCAUUGUAUUUUACUACUAUAUAUCUUGAAUUUUCUGUAAUAUGCAUGGCACAACAGACAAUGCAUCAGAAUUGUAACUAAUAUAAAUGUACUAGAAACGUUUUUCUGUCUCCUGGAAUGUUGUCUAAUAUAUAGGACAGUUUAGUGAGUUAAUCUCAUUUUUCAUUACUCUGUGUAUUUGGCAUAGCUCCUAUCAAUUUAUUGGAAAAACAGAUGGGCAGUGCACCGCACGCCGUCAUGAUCUAGUUUAUAUAUAAUCUUAGUGAAGCUAUUGACAAUUACAAGAGUUGAUGGGUAUCAUCAAUGCAUCGAGGUCCUUUUGUGUCCCAUGUCCAGCAAACCAUUAAAAGAAUGGUAUGACAAGAAGGCAAUUCAAGAAUAUUUCAGCUGAUUAGCGGUAACCAAUCACACUUUAGUUAUUGAUUCAAGAAGAUUUUUGUUGUUCUUAGCAGUUGCUUCUUUUUGUUGAGAUAUAUUGCCAUGAUAAGCUGCAGAUCUUUUAGUUAUUAUAUAAUGCCAUUCGAAGCAUAUGCUAGGUUGCCAAGAUGUAUUUGUUUGUUUUGUUUUAUGAUGAUGCAGCAAAUGGAGGAAGCAAUAAUUGAAGUGUGCUUGAAUAGGCCUCUCCUAUAGUUGGUAAGACAAAUUAAGCAUCCGCUUUGCUCCUGCCCUCUUAUUUUAGGUGCCAGCAGCAGGACGAAGCUCUUGGAUGGCUCCUAAUGGCAAUAAUAGACAUUCAGAAGGACACGGUCCAUAGUCAUGAGUUAUGAGAUCAAGAUGGUCUGAAGUCUGAACAAAGAAACAUCUAUUUUCAUAGUUAUUUUCAGAAGAAUGAGGCAGAAAGAAAACACACCAGAGGAAGAAUUGCUUGCAAAUAUACGGCUCCUAGAGAUUGAAAACGUGAAGCUUGCGUCUCGAUGCAUUGAUAGAAAGAAAGUAAUUACAAGCCAAAGAUAGGCCGAAACAACCGACCGCUCAAGACAAGAGCACGACCAACAGCCGCAAACAAACAUUACAACCGGCGCCAGCAAUAAACCUCGGCCUAGAUGCCAACCCCACAUGUGUACUGGAUGCGACAAUCCUACCAAACCCCCCGCCACAAGAAGGGAGAAGUCAACUCUGCAAAGGACAUAAUUGGUUCACGCUCGAAGGAAAUGUGCAUAUCCCCAUUGUUAUCCAUGUGGACGACGAAGUUGUGAAUGCCCCGGUAAAGCACGUGAAAAAACAUAAGUGGGAUUGGCGUAAUGAAGAUCCGUGAUCACGAAAAAAAGUGUUUACGCUCCAAAAUACAACUGUCGGAAAUACAAGUCUACUUAUCAUAGUGUUGGAGAGAGAGGAAGCAAGAUUGAUUUUUCGUCAUCUAUAACCAAUUUGCAGGACUGGUAAGAGGCAGCGCAAAUUGUGAAGGGAGGUAUAAUCAUGUGUCUCGGAAUGUUCCGCUUGGUUGGAAGGAAGAUACAAAUGAGUCUAAAAUGUAGGUAUUCUACGUUUCAUAUGUAGCACGUUGUUGCAAGUUUUUGACUAUAAUUUAGUCCUUCCUGAUUUUUAUAAUUUGUUAGAGUGAAAAUAAAUAUGGUGUAUCUUGUUUACUCUAAUGAUCGUGAUGCCGACCUGGUUGCGGUUGCCUGCACCGAUUUAAGAAGAAUUGAGCUAGAGCGUUGGAUAUGCAAUAGUAUAUUUGCUAUCUACGCUUCGUAAGUAUUGCUUCGUUUAGUUAAGAAUAUUCUUGUCCCUUUUUUGUAGCAGCUUUAACAAAACUAUUUGCGUGCAUAUAACUGGAAAAUGUCAGCCUUCACUACUAAAAACCAGUGAAAUAAGUUUCUAGUAUCAUAUUGCCGACGUCUUUGCGUUUCCCAUGCUUGAGCGGAAACAUAAGGGAAAAAAACAUCCACAUCAACUGUAACUUUCUACUUACCAUACUUGUUGAAAAUUCCACAUUGUUACUUGCGACUUCUUUCUAGAUCCGUUGAACUAUUUUUCUUACAGUGAUGUUGGGAUUGCUGGAACGGAUCGAAGACUUAUUAUAUAUAUUCUGUGUGUAAAUGAUAUUGAGUAAGCAAUGUUGUCUUCUCUUUCGUUAAAAUACAUUAAUUUAUAAUUAUCCAUGGUAUCAUGUCACAUUAUGUAGUGACAAUACCUCAGCUACGGCCCACGGGAGCCUGGCAAUUAUUUGUUUCCCUAAACACGGAUCAAAUAACAAUCCAAUAAUUCUGCAUAUAUAUGGAUUCAGUGAAGCUUUUUCAUGAUAGAUAUUGGGUUCAUAGUCCUCAACAGGUUAGUUGUCUGAGAAGUCAAAUUCUGCGAGCAAAUUGUGAUAUUUGCAUAUGCAUUUUGUUAUAUUUUUAGAACUUUCUAUGUUGUCGACAGUUACGUGAGACGUGUGAUGGGUGAGAGCAAGUGAGAUAAACACGCAGACACUCGGCUACAAUCGUUAUGUACAUCGCCUCGAUGCAGACGUGGGAGAGCUCCCCUUUUUGAAAAAGAAAAACUAUUGCUGGCAUGUUUCUCAGCAGCCUAAUGGGUACAACUGUGGCGCCUUUGCUAUGUACAAUACGUGCAGAUUCAUUAGGAGGCCCCCGUUAGUUUUUCAGGAGGAAGACUGUUCUAAGGAAGGGGCGAAAAAGGCCCAGAAACUUCAAUUAAUUAGGCUGAGCACCUCACUCAACAUUAAGAAGGACUUUACAAUGAGAAGAAUGUUAGCAGCAGGGAUCAACUUGGGCACUAAAGAAAAUAAUUAGAGGACUGAAAGGCAAAAGGGGAGUCACUCCAUGGCCAUGUGCCGGUGGCUUUUCCAGAAGGACAAAAAAAAAGGUGGGGCUCUGCUUCUUUUGGUGGAGGGGAGACAGAUCGAGAAGAGGGAAGACAGAUCGAGAAGAGGGGAGGAGAUCAGAAAAGAGAAGAAGGGAGGAGAAUGGAGGUCGCGGCUGGAGAUCCGCCUCACCGCUAGGCUGCUCGUCCACAUCGUCAUCAAGCUCGAGUAUUUGUUCUGCAUCUUCCCGAUCCGGCUUCCUCUGCUUCUCCUGCUUCGCCGCUUCAACAACUUGGCGAAAAAUCUCUGAACCCUCUUCUACAGCAGCUCUUUGGUGACGAAGUCCAACCACUCUUUCCCUUCCCUUGCUCUUUUGCUGAUCUUGUUGUACUUGCAUUUGGAAAGAUAAAUCGUGUGAAACUUGCUGCUGUUCGUGUUGCUUCUUGUAAGACAGAAACCUGCAAGAAUUUGAUAACCUGUGUUUUGUUAGCCCUCUUGCUUCCUCAGUUCUUUAGUUUCAGUAAUUAGUGAGUCAUAUCUUUACUGCUUGUUAUUAUUUCAGAAAAAUACCAAAAACAUUAGACAAGUUUAUUUUUCUGUUCGUGGUUCAUAUAGUUUCUUUGUGCUGUCCGUAAUUUAGAUUCAGAGUAAACCUGUUACUUGAGUUCACUAAAGUGCAGUCCAGAGCUCUUUUGUCACUACUUUUAAACACCAGUUUGUGUGAGUCUAGCUUUGGGAGUUUGCUUAAUAUUUGUAUUCAAUCCCUGUGGAGAGAACGACAUAUCACUGUAAAUUUUGCAUCGAUCAAAUUGGCGCCGUUGCCGGGGAUUGAUUAUGAAUGUUACCAACAGUACCAUAGACUAGUCCUUUUUCUUGUUUUGAGAAUAAUUCAUUUGUUAAUUUUCUGUUGCCUAGGCUGAUUGGGAUACUAACCAUCUAAUUAGUUCUUGGUUGUGAGCGUGUGUAGGAGAAUUUCCUUUCUUUUCUUUGCAGGACAUUGAUGUAUGCUUGUAAGCAAAGAUUCUGAACUCUUGCCCCUUGACCCUGAGAUAGAAAGGACUCUUAAGACGUUAAGAAGAGAAGCCAGAUUAGCACAGGAAAAAGUUAUGGGUGAUAAAUUGCUUAGAGACCUCUGGAUUCCAAGCCAUCAAAAUGUUUCGGAUAAUGUUAUUCAGCCAACCAUUCAGGCUAAUAACUUUGAGCUUAAACCUGCUCUUAUUAACAUGGUACAACAAAAUAGGUUUGGUGGCUCUGCAGUCGAGGAUCCACAUGAACAUAUCACCACCUUUUUGGAAUAUUGCAAUACUCUCAAAUGCAAUGGGGUUACUGCAGAUACUAUAAGGCUUCAGUUGUUUCCGUUCUCUCUACGUGAUUCUGCCAGAAUCUGGUUACAUGCUUUACCUUCUCAGUCAAAGGAUACUUGGGAACAUCUUUUACAAGCCUUCUUUGAGAGAUAUUUCCCUCCGACAAGAGCUGCAGAGUAUAGAGAUCAGAUAACAAGGUUUGCACAGUUCACUGGUGAGAGUCUUUAUGAUGCAUGGAAUAGAUACCAGAAUCUGAUAAGAAUGUGCCCUCAUCAUGGUCUUGAGAGAUGGCUGAUUUUGCAAACUUUCUAUAAAGGCCUUACUCAUCAGACAAGAGCCUUUGUGGACUCUGCAUCAGGAGGUGGUAUUAUGAAUAAGACUCUCGAAGAAGCUUUCACACUAAUUGAAAAUAUGGCAUCACACCAUUUCCAGUGGUCAAGUGAGAGGGUGGUGUCACCUCAGAAACCUGGAAUGUAUCAAUUGAAUUCACAAGAUGCUUUAGCAGCUCAAGUGGAGAUUUUAAACAAGACGAUUGCUCAAUUGCAGGUUAACAUGAGUCACGGGAAUACUUCUUCAGUUUCAUCAGUACAAUCAUCUCCGGUGUGUACAAUAUGUGGAGUUCAUGGACACCUUCAAGGGGAAUGUUUAGUAUACACAAAAUCUGAAGCAUCAGUAUCAGAGGUGAACUAUGCUCAGAAUCAAGGACCAUUUUCUCAAAAUUACAAUCCUCAGUGGAGACAUCAUCCCAAUCUGUCAUACAAGAGUAAUUUGCCAAGUCAAUCUUCAUUUUCUUCAAGUGUAUCACAUCCUGGUUUUAGCCAGUAGCAGCCCCAGUAUAGUGGACAGAGACAACAAGGUACCUCGCCUACGACACUUGAGGAAGCAUGGAAAGUACAAGAGGACAAAAUGAAAAGGCAGGUGGACAAACUUAGCAAAUUAACUGAAGAUGUGGGCAGCUUGAAGGACCUCUUACAGCACCUUGUGCUUGCUCAAGCUACGACUAGUUCUGAAGCAAAGCUUCCAUCCCAAGCAGAGCAGAACCCGAAAGGGCAGUGUGGAGCUAUAAUGUCCAGCGAAGCGAUAACAACCAGGACCGGUAAAGUUAUUGCACCUCUCUUGCCAACUCCUCCCACACAGCAUUAUGUUCCUCCAGCUUUGAGAAAUGUCAUUCGGAACAAUGUUCAGCAUGCAGAUCAAGCCAAGCAAAAGCCAGUUGAAGUUGAGAAAAAUCAAAGUGAAUCAGAAAUUUCUAGUCCAGUGCAGAAUGAUUCAGCAUCAGAGACAAGUUCAAAGGCAAAAAUACCAUUUCCAGAGAGGGUAGAAAAGAAUAAAGAAGAUAGGCAGUAUGCAAAGUUUCUUGAGAAAAUGAAGGAGGUGCAAGUGACAAUUCCAAUAUUAGAUGCAGUUCUGCAUGUACCUAUGUAUGCAAGAUUCUUCAAAGAACUAAUUUCAAAGAAAAGAAGCCUCGAUGAACCAGAUGUUGUUGUCCUAACAAAGGAAUGUAGUGCUAUCAUUCUAAACAAGAUGCCACCAAAAUUGGAGGAUCCAGGAAGUUUUUGUGUGCCAUGUCAAGUUGGAAGUCAAACUUUCAGAGCUUUAUGUGAUCUUGGAUCAAGUGUGAGUGUGCUCCCUUUAUCCGUGUGCAAAGAAAUGGAUCUUGGAGAGCUGAGAACAACAAAGAUGACAUUGCAAUUAGCAGAUCGAACUUACAGGAAGCCUGCCGGUGUUUUGUUUGAUGUGCCUGUGAUAGUUGGUAAGUUUGCCUACCCUGCAGAUUUUGUUGUUUUGGAGAUGGAUGACAAUAGUAAAUCAGUGAUACUUGGCAGACCUUUUCUAGCUACAGCGGGUGCUAUAAUCGAUGUUAAAGGGGCAUCUCUGAAGCUAAGAUUUGGAGAGGAGGAGAUUACUUUUGACAUGAAGAAUCCUACUCAUCUACCAAUUUGUAAUGAUGAAUGCUUUUCAAUGGAUCUUGUGGAUCAAUGUGUAAAAGAGGUUUAUGGGAAGAAUGAGAAUGAGCCUGCUUGGGAAGCAAAGGAAAUUAGAACACCAACUUGCAUUGUUGCACAAAUUGAAAGUGAAGAAGAGAUUUCAAAAUGUGAAUCAAGCUUGGUUCCAAAUUCAGUGGUAGAACUGAAGGCUCUUCCCUCACACCUCACUUAUGAAUUCUUAGAAGAAGAAAAGAAACAUCCAGUAAUUGUCAGUGCUUCUCUGGAAAAAGAUCAAACUAUAGCACUACUGAAUGUAUUGAGAAGAUUUAGAAAAGUCAUCGGCUAUUCCAUUGAUGAUCUGAUAGGUAUUAGUCCCUCUGUCUGCAGUCAUAGAAUAUAUCUUGAGGAUAACAGUAAGCCUACAAGGCAACCUCAAAGGAGAUUAAAUCCAAAUUUGCAAGAAGUUGUGAAGAAAGAAGUCUUGAAAUUGCUCUCUGCUGGAAUUAUAUAUCCUAUAUCAGACAGUAAAUGGGUUAGUCCUAUUCAUGUUGUUCCUAAGAAAGGAGGAAUGACAGUUAUGGAAAAUGAGCAGGGGCAAUUGAUUCCAACAAGGACAGUGACUGGGUACCGAAUGUGCACUGACUAUAGAGGUCUCAACUUGUCAACAAGGAAAGAUCACUUUCCUCUUCCUUUUAUUGAUCAGAUGCUAGAGAGAUUAGCAGGGAAGAAGUAUUUUUGCUAUCUUGACGGUUACUCUGGAUUCCUGCAAGUUCCUGUUCAUCCUGAUGACCAGGAUAAGACAACAUUUACUUGCCCUUAUGGAACGUUUGCUUAUCGAAGAGUUCCAUUUGGACUUUGUAAUGCUCCAGCCACCUUCCAAAGGUGUAUGAUGUCAAUCUUUUCAGACCUAAUAGAAAAUACCAUGGAGGUCUUUAUGGACGACUUCACUGUUUAUGGGAAGAGCUUUGAAGAUUGUCUGAAAAACUUGGCCGUUGUUUUGCAGAGAUGUCUUGAACAUAGUUUGGUUCUUAACUGGGAAAAAUGCCAUUUUCUUGCAACAGAAGGAAUAGUAUUGGGACAUCUUGUUUCUGAAAGAGGAAUGGAAGUUGACAGAGCAAAGGUAGAAGUAGUCACCAAGUUGCCUCCUCUAGUUAAUGUAAAAGGAGUCAGGAGCUUUCUUGGACAUGCUGGAUUCUAUAGGCGCUUCAUAAAAGACUUCUCGAGAAUAGCUAAGCCACUGACUCAUCUUUUAGGAAAUGAUAUCCCUUUCAUAUUUAAUAAGGAUUGCAUGGAAUCAUUUUGCAAGUUAAAAGAGGCACUCACUACAGCUCCCAUAGUUCAACCGCCAGAUUGGAAGCUUCCAUUCGAGUUAAUGUGUGAUGCCAGCGAUUUUGCACUUGGGGCUGUUUUGGGGCAAAGAAAGGAGAAGGCACUACAUGUAAUUCAUUAUGCAAGCAGAACCUUGGAUGAUGCCCAAGUAAACUACACUACAACUGAGAAAGAAUUGCUAGCGGUGGUAUUUGCAUUUGAUAAGUUCAGACCUUAUUUGGUUGGAAACAAGUGCAUUGUUUAUACUGAUCAUGCCGCCAUUAAGUUUCUGUUGAAUAAAAAGGAUUCUAAGCCAAGAUUGAUCAGAUGGGUCUUGCUACUCCAAGAAUUCGAUGUUGAGAUACGAGAUAAGAAAGGGGCAGAAAACAUGGUUGCAGAUCAUCUUUCUAGGAUAUCUAACCAGGAAAUCGACGCAGUCAGUAUCAAUGAUAAUCUUCCAGGGGAACAACUGAUGCAUGUCUCCAAUUUCCAUUCAAAAACCCCUUGGUAUGCUGACAUUGUAAAUUACUUGGUAUGCAAAAUUAUCCCAAGUGAGCUUACCUACCAACAAAAAAAGAAAUUCUUGCACAAUGUGAAAUAUUAUUAUUGGGAUGAACCCUUCCUAUAUAGAAGUUGCUCUGAUGGAAUAAUCAGGCGUUGCAUCCCACAAGAAGAAGCCUAUAGUGUCAUGUACCAUUGCCAUGCUUCCACAUAUGGUGGCCAUGCAAGUGCCAUGAAGACACAAGCAAAGAUUUUCCAAGCUGGUUUUUAUUGGCCGAGCCUAUUUAAGGAUGUGCACAAAUUCAUUCAGGCUUGUGAUCCGUGUCAGAGAAGUGGGAAAAUCUCCAGAAGAAACGAAAUGCCACAGAAAGGAAUUUUAGAAGUAGAACUGUUCGAUGUUUGGGGAGUAGAUUACAUGGGGCCAUUUCCAGCAUCUAAUGGGUACAAGCAUAUUCUAGUGGCAGUAGAUUAUGUAUCCAAAUGGGUAGAAGCUAUCCCAACAGUACAUGCUGAUUCCAAGUCAGUGUGUAAACUUCUGAAACAGGCUAUAUUUCCACGAUUUGGAGUGCCUAGAAUUGUGAUAAGUGAUGGGGGAAAACAUUUCAAUAAUGAUCAGCUUCAAGCCUUGCUGGCCAAAUAUGGUGUUCAUAGUCACAAGGUCACUACACCUUACCAUCCACAAGCCAACGGACAAGUAGAAGUAUCAAACAGGGAGAUAAAGCAAAUUUUGGAGAAAGUUGUUUCGAAGUCAAGAAAGGAUUGGGCAACUAAGUUACCUGAUACCCUAUGGGCCUAUAGAACAGCAUACAAGACCCCUAUUGGGAUGUCUCCUUUUCGGCUAGUUUAUGGAAAGGCAUGCCAUCUUCCUAUAGAACUAGAACAUAAAGCUCACUGGGCAACAAGAACAUUAAACAUGGAUAUUGACUUGGCUGGGAAGAAAAGAAAGCUCCAAUUAUGUGAACUAGAGGAACUCAGAAUGGAUUCUUAUGAUAGCGCUAGAAUCUACAAAGAGAAGACCAAGAAGUGGCACAACAGACAUAUAUUGAGGAAGGAGUUCAAACUAGGUGAUAUGGUGCUGAUCUACGACUCCCGAUUUCAUCUAUUUCCAGGGAAAUUCAAGUCAAGAUGGUUUGGUCCCUGCUCUGUCACAAAGGUACUUGCAAAUGGAGCUUUUGAGGUCAAGAGUCCAUCAGGAGGCAUUUUCUCAGUAAAUGGGCAGAGAAUGAAACAUUAUGUUAUGGGAGAACCAAUUUAUGAUGAAGAUUCAAAAUCGGAGGAGGAUGGAGUUGAUGCAACUCCACUUGCAUCACAACAUUGACUUUACAAGGAGGGUCGAGCUAAUGACCAUAAACAAGCGCUACCAGGAGGCAACCUGGAUAAAUAAAUUCAGUUAAUUUUCUUUAUUGAGUUUUUUUUUAUGUUUUCUUUUCUUUCUUUGCCUUCAUAGGAAUUAAUAAAUCAUAGCAGGCAGUAAGAGUUCAAGAUGAAGGAGAGCUGGCUUAUGAUAAUGCAGAAGAGUGAAGAGUUUACUGAAAGUUUCUACUUACCGAAUCAGCAAAAGAAGUACGAGCUGAUAUGAUACAUGUUCAUAUGACUUCACUUUGGAGUUAAAAACGAGGAGCUAAGUGAGCUACACCACACCCGGUGAGCUGUUUCAGUACUCAAUUCUACUUCUACAUUUUUCAGUUGCGGUGUUGGCUAUUUCUUUUUGGUUACAUCCUGCUGAUUUUGAUUGAAAUUGCCUCUGUCCAUUAUUUUCCUGGUUCAUUGUCAGUUAGUGCCGCAUAAAUAUUCUGCAUUAAUACUUAAGAUCAUAUCUUAGCAUGGUCGUAACUGAAAGAAGCUGCCUGUCAUUUUGACAGUAAUGUGAGAUAUAACAAAGAAGCUUGUCAUUUUCUCUUGGAUAUCACUGUGCCAUGAACUAUAUUCAUUUGGGUGAAAGAAUGUGUUGAUUAGUUCUUUUCUGAGCCAAGUAACAAGUUCCAUUACAUACUGUAUCAUGGUCUCGGGAUCGGUGGUACAUGAAAGAGGUGGACCUAGUUAUUGAUGUCCAGUUGUUAACAAAAAUCUUGCAGUUCCGUCAAAUAAGUGGCUAGGCGACAUUCGUUUUCUUGCCUCUCAAUAAGUGGUUGUGCCACAUUUUGCUUUGCUUCCUUCUAAUAAGUGACAGUGUCACAGUUCUGAAUAAGUGGCUGUGCCACAUUUUGCAUCUUAUAAGUUCUGAAUAAGUGGCUUUGCCACAGUUUUGCUUUCGCAUUUUCCUUUAUGCAAUUUAAAACAAAAUCUGGACAUCAUGGCUCAGGAAAGAACUGUUAACAUAGUUUCACUUAGAUAUUAUUGUUCAUGUUUUCAUCAGUGUGUGACGGAAAGAAUGACAUGAUUCUUUAUUAUAUCUCAGAUUAGUGUCAUCUUGACAGGCAUCGGAAAUACAGUCAUGAUCUUGAACAGAUGUUACCUUAAGUAAUAUUGUUGAGUAUUAAUUGUGUGCAGCUUGUCAGUGCUUGUCAUGUUCUCUAUUAUUGCUGUUUUUCUUUGCUUGAGACAAGCAAAAGUUUAAGUGUGGGGGUGUAUCAAUUUGAUCGAUGCAAAAUUUACAGUGAUAUGUCGUUCUCUCCACAGGGAUUGAGUUACAAAUAUUAAGCAAACUCCCAAAGCUAGACUCACACAAACUGGUGUUUAAAAGUAGUGACAAAAGAGCUCUGGACUGCACUUUAGUGAACUCAAGUAACAGGUUUACUCUGAAUCUAAAUUACGGACAGCACAAAGAAACUAUAUGAACCACGAACAGAAAAAUAAACUUGUCUAAUGUUUUUGGUAUUUUUCUGAAAUAAUAACAAGCAGUAAAGAUAUGACUCACUAAUUACUGAAACUAAAGAACUGAGGAAGCAAGAGGGCUAACAAAACACAGGUUAUCAAAUUCUUGCAGGUUUCUGUCUUACAAGAAGCAACACGAACAGCAGCAAGUUUCACACGAUUUAUCUUUCCAAAUGCAAGUACAACAAGAUCAGCAAAAGAGCAAGGGAAGGGAAAGAGUGGUUGGACUUCGUCACCAAAGAGUUGCUGUAGAAGAGGGUUCAGAGAUUUUUCGCCAAGUUGUUGAAGCGGCGAAGCAGGAGAAGCAGAGGAAGCCGGAUCGGGAAGAUGCAGAACAAAUACUCGAGCUUGAUGACGAUGUGGACGAGCAGCCUAGCGGUGAGGCGGAUCUCCAGCCGCGACCUCCAUUCUCCUCCCUUCUUCUCUUUUCUGAUCUCCUCCCCUCUUCUCGAUCUGUCUUCCCUCUUCUCGAUCUGUCUCCCCUCCACCAAAAGAAGCAGAGCCCCACCUUUUUUUUUGUCCUUCUGGAAAAGCCACCGGCACAUGGCCAUGGAGUGACUCCCCUUUUGCCUUUCAGUCCUCUAAUUAUUUUCUUUAGUGCCCAAGUUGAUCCCUGCUGCUAACAUUCUUCUCCUUGUAAAGUCCUUCUUAAUGUUGAGUGAGGUGCUCAGCCUAAUUAAUUGAAGUUUCUGGGCCUUUUUCGCCCCUUCCUGCAUAUAAAGAAUUGAAGAUUGUAAUUGCCUCUUUGGAGUGGAAUCUGUUACUUUAACAUA